GUUUAAGAUUCAUACCAGCCGUCAAUAAUGAAUUCAAAAAUCAAACUACAGAUUAUUUGCAGCGAGCAAAACAUUGGUAAUCAGCGUCAUCAUGUGCUAAACUUCACAAGUUUCGCCAAUCUCAUGUCGCCAAACAAACACAACCAGGGAGGAGUGUCUGUCUUUCUCCUUCAGAUUUUUAAGAUUUUUCUUCUCAGACCUCAGUCGUUGAACUCGUGAGGGUUGUCGUUUAUGCAGAGACUUCCAGGAAUUAGCGGUUCACAGUCACCAGAAGCUAAAGUGGCUGUCAUGUUGGAAGAUCUACCGUUUCAAAAAAAGUGUUGACUGAGAAAAAAACGUGAUUAGUGG
Molecule: small RNA, 348 nt
Filed under: Vigna angularis var. angularis
Lineage: Eukaryota; Viridiplantae; Streptophyta; Magnoliopsida; Fabales; Fabaceae
Description: Non-protein coding transcript
Source: RNAcentral